UCACCUGGUGGAGUGGCACAGGACUCCGAGCACUCAGGAGACGGACGGCUUCCAGGUGAAGCGUCCCGGUGAUGUCAGUGUGCGCUGCACUCUAUUACUGAUGCUGGACUACCAGCCCCCCCAGUUUAAGCUGGACCCCCGCCUGGCCCGCCUGCUGGGAAUCCACACGCAGACCCGCGCCGUCAUUAUCCAGGCGCUGUGGCAAUAUAUCAAGACCAAUAAACUCCAAGACUGUCAUGACAAAGAAUAUAUCACCGGGGACAAAUAUUUCCAGCAGGUCA
Molecule: long non-coding RNA, 281 nt
Organism: Nanorana parkeri
Lineage: Eukaryota; Metazoa; Chordata; Amphibia; Anura; Dicroglossidae
Exons: 3
Source: RefSeq, a predicted model, not a curated record